GCAGUCGAGCGGCAGCGGGGGUGCUUGCACCUGCCGGCGAGCGGCGAACGGGUGAGUAAUACAUCGGAACGUACCCAUGUGGUGGGGGAUAACUACUCGAAAGAGUAGCUAAUACCGCAUACGCCCUGAGGGGGAAAGCGGGGGAUUCUUCGGAACCUCGCGCCAUUGGAGCGGCCGAUGUCGGAUUAGCUAGUAGGUGGGGUAAAGGCUCACCUAGGCGACGAUCCGUAGCUGGUCUGAGAGGAUGAUCAGCCACACUGGGACUGAGACACGGCCCAGACUCCUACGGGAGGCAGCAGUGGGGAAUUUUGGACAAUGGGCGCAAGCCUGAUCCAGCCAUGCCGCGUGAGUGAAGAAGGCCUUCGGGUUGUAAAGCUCUUUCAGUCGGGAAGAAAAGGCGCGCUCUAACAUAGCGCGCUCAUGACGGUACCGACAGAAGAAGCACCGGCUAACUACGUGCCAGCAGCCGCGGUAAUACGUAGGGUGCGAGCGUUAAUCGGAAUUACUGGGCGUAAAGCGUGCGCAGGCGGUUGUGUAAGACAGGUGUGAAAUCCCCGGGCUUAACCUGGGAACUGCGCUUGUG
This 583-nucleotide ribosomal RNA is filed under the name bacterium SL4.49. RNAcentral describes it as "bacterial SSU rRNA". It matches the Rfam family "Bacterial small subunit ribosomal RNA", at positions 57 to 631 of the family's 1533-position model. The record is from RNAcentral.